UACGUAGGGGCCUAGCGUUGUCCGGAUUUAUUGGGCGUAAAGAGCUCGUAGGCGGUGUGUCGCGUCGGCCGUGAAAACUUGCAGCUUAACUGUGGGCGUGCGGGCGAUACGGGCAGACUGGAGUACUGCAGGGGAGACUGGAAUUCCUGGUGUAGCGGUGGAAUGCGCAGAUAUCAGGAGGAACACCGGUGGCGAAGGCGGGUCUCUGGGCAGUAACUGACGCUGAGGAGCGAAAGCGUGGGGAGCGAACAGG
RNAcentral lists this ribosomal RNA (253 nucleotides) under uncultured bacterium. RNAcentral describes it as "partial 16S ribosomal RNA". It matches the Rfam family "Bacterial small subunit ribosomal RNA", at positions 524 to 776 of the family's 1533-position model. The record is from RNAcentral.